UCUUUCACCAGCAUCUGCUGU
This 21-nucleotide unclassified non-coding RNA is filed under the name Mus musculus (house mouse). RNAcentral's name for it is "oocyte_clustered_small_RNA7411". The record is from RNAcentral. Lineage: Eukaryota; Metazoa; Chordata; Mammalia; Rodentia; Muridae.